AUUCUUUUUAGAGGCCUUGCCUUGGACUUCCUGGAUCCUGAUUGUUGUUUCGCGUAUCUGCUUUGGGCCAUUGCUGUUCUUCUACCACUCAUUCAUAUAUUAUUUGACCAUUUGCUUUGCUAAGAUUCAAGACAUGCAUCCUUUAGCUAGAUUCAUCUUUGUUUGAUGUAGUUCUUUGUGAUCUGAAAGCAACUGACUACUCAAUACCAAUCAGUGCAUGGAGGGAACUCCUGUCCACCAUGCCGGCGACAGGAACAUGGAAAACGCAGUCCACGGUGCCACCAAUGAACAAGAGCUGAUCAGCCCAAAGUCUAUGGUUAAUGCCAUUCUUGGUAACAUUGGUCUGCCUGAUGCAAAACAAGCAAGGACUACAAGAACUACAAUGGACGUGCCGAGACAAGCAUUGUAAGGAUCCCAGUUAGAAUGAUGCUUGAUCUCCUGGUAGAGCAUCUUGGGCUUCACAAGGCCAUCUGAGACUCGGGCUCAAUGAGAACACAAUGAGAGUCAUCAUUCUCUCUGACACUGCUGUUCAAGACGACCGGACCUGUCCACCGCGCAUGCCCAUUACUGGUGUAUGAACAUUGCAUCCUUUAAUUUACCCUGUAUAUGAACAUUCCAUUCUUCAAAUAUGUUGUACUAUCAUUCUGGUGGCUAUGGAGAUGUGUUGUACUGUAGUUUUGGUAUCCAUUGAUGAUGUCUUGCUCCGAUUACACUUGAAUCUGUA
Molecule: long non-coding RNA, 724 nt
Organism: Triticum dicoccoides
Lineage: Eukaryota; Viridiplantae; Streptophyta; Magnoliopsida; Poales; Poaceae
Exons: 4
Source: RefSeq, a predicted model, not a curated record